This 254-nucleotide ribosomal RNA is filed under the name uncultured bacterium. Its description in RNAcentral is "partial 16S ribosomal RNA". It matches the Rfam family "Archaeal small subunit ribosomal RNA", at positions 474 to 727 of the family's 1478-position model. The record is from RNAcentral.
UACCAGCACCCCGAGUGGUCGGGACGAUUAUUGGGCCUAAAGCAUCCGUAGCCGGUCCUACAAGUCUUCCGUUAAAUCCACCUGCUUAACAGAUGGGCUGCGGAAGAUACUAUAGGGCUAGGAGGCGGGAGAGGCAAGCGGUACUCAGUGGGUAGGGGUAAAAUCCUCUGAUCCAUUGAAGACCACCAGUGGCGAAGGCGGCUUGCCAGAACGCGCUCGACGGUGAGGGAUGAAAGCUGGGGGGAGCAAACAGG